RNAcentral lists this transfer RNA (89 nucleotides) under Minisyncoccota bacterium. RNAcentral's name for it is "tRNA-Ser". It matches the Rfam family "tRNA". From Rfam's summary of the family: Transfer RNA (tRNA) molecules are approximately 80 nucleotides in length. Their secondary structure includes four short double-helical elements and three loops (D, anti-codon, and T loops). The record is from RNAcentral. Lineage: Bacteria; Bacillati; Minisyncoccota.
GGAGACGUGUCGGAGUGGUCUAACGUGCCUCUUUGCUAAAGAGGUGGACCUCUUAUAGGGUCCCGGAGGUUCGAAUCCUCUCGUCUCCG